CAAAUAUCCAAGAUAUUAAGUUGACAGAAGUUAUGUGUUGAAAAACAGGAGGAACAGUGAUCCCUAUAUAUGGUUCUUUAAUGUUGGUUGCUGGUUACUAAAUUAAAUAAAAUACAAAAAAGUAUUAUACUCUUUACAACUUAAUGUUAUUAACUUUAUUAAAAACCCUAACUGUGCUUUAUACAGACAAACCGGGCGUUAAUACAGGGCCAUUACAAAAAAACAGGGCCAUUACAGAAAAACAGGGCCAUUACAGAAAAAAAACAGGGCCAUUACAGAAAAUGUUAUUUUUAAUAACCAGUCAUUUUUGGCAAUAAUGUACUUAGU
RNAcentral lists this long non-coding RNA (327 nucleotides) under Mytilus galloprovincialis (Mediterranean mussel). The record is from RNAcentral. Lineage: Eukaryota; Metazoa; Mollusca; Bivalvia; Mytilida; Mytilidae.